AUCUCUGCCUCCUCGUGGGUUCUGUGGGGAAGCGUCUGAGCUGUGAGGCUCGGGGGCUCUCUGCGCGUGUCCCCUUCCCGAGGGGCCGCACACUGUACCUAGGGCCGCUCAGCACUGGGGAGCACCUCCCCACAUAGUUUCUUUGGUUUUAUCAUUGUCUGUAGUGAGAAAUUAAGCCUCACUCUUACUAAGGCAUCUUAGCUGAAAGUGGAAGUUCCUAUUCACUUUUUGAAUGUCUUUUAAAAUUUAUAAUGAGAAAAAAUAAGCCAGCAAUGUAGAGUGCUUAGUCUGUGAAAUUAAGCAACAGUUUCACCUUCUUAAUAUGGAAAUUAGUGGUGUUUUCAAAGUGCUCACCACCUUAGAAUGUAUUUUACUUAUGGAGCAUCAUGAUGCCUUUGUUCUUAUAUGAGCUCCUGGAUGGAAUCAGGUGUGCAAACACAAACACUGCAGGCUGGGAUUAUGUGUUUCCUGAUCAGUUCAAGUGUCCUAAGAAUGUGCUCUCGACAGAUAAACAUUUCCUUGCAUAGAAACAGAAACAGACAAAACAUUAGCAUGAGGUCAAAUAAAUCCCCCUUGUCUCAAAGGCCACAGAGACAGCUGGAGUGUGAAGAUAACUGACACAGAAAAAUAAGUCAGUGCCUCGGCUUUGGGCAGUUGACACGUGGAGAGGGCAGAUGGCUCCAGAGGACGUGGAGAGCUGUCCACCACGGGGAUGACGGCUGCAGCCCCUUCUUCAGGAACCAAGAGGUGGGUUCUUUGCCACUUUUGCCACCUGGAACAUGUGAAGUUUCAACGUUGGCACAUGGAAGGGUGAACCCAGGAUGACAGAAGGGUUUGGAAGAGAAGAAACUUCCAGGAGUUUCCGAGAUGAAGAACCUGAUGUUUAUCGGCUCUGAAAGUCAGCCAUUUGGAAUAUUCCGGAAUGAUGGAUCCAGGAGUUUCCCAGCCUCCUCUCCUGUUCUCACUCCUGCCAGACACAGCAGGAUGGUCUCAGC
Molecule: long non-coding RNA, 995 nt
Organism: Dama dama (fallow deer)
Lineage: Eukaryota; Metazoa; Chordata; Mammalia; Artiodactyla; Cervidae
Exons: 3
Source: RefSeq, a predicted model, not a curated record